AAUAUACUCCCUCCGUCCAGAAAUACUUGUCAUCAAUAUGAAUAAAAGGGGAUGUAUCUAGAUGUAUUUUAGUUCUAGAUACAUCCCUUUUUAGCCAUUUUCAUGACGAGUAUUUUCGAAUGGAGGGAGUAUAUG
Triticum urartu is the source of this 135-nucleotide non-coding RNA. Lineage: Eukaryota; Viridiplantae; Streptophyta; Magnoliopsida; Poales; Poaceae. The record is from Rfam.